RNAcentral lists this long non-coding RNA (681 nucleotides) under Coturnix japonica (Japanese quail). Its description in RNAcentral is "lncRNA (ENSCJPG00005007678.1)". The record is from RNAcentral. Lineage: Eukaryota; Metazoa; Chordata; Aves; Galliformes; Phasianidae.
UUGAACUUUCUCCUUGUUCAGAGCCUCUCAGACUGAGGCUCCAAGCAGAGGCAUUCAGGGCCAGGAUUUCAAAGGGUGAGGGCUGUGUUUGUGCACACAAUAUUUGAAUGCACAUUCACUGCAUGCUUAAUCUCCCUCACGUGCAGAGGAAAAUGGGUAGAUUUGCAUUUGUAAGAUAGCCCUGGCAUGCCCAAGAGCUCAUUCAGCUGUGGCUGCCAUCUCCCACUUUGGUGCUCCUUGGGACUGCGCUUGUCCCUUUUGCUGGCAGAAAGGACAAGUGUGAGGCCUGAGGAGGAAUAAAUUAGAUUUUAAUCUUUGGCGAUCUGCCCUUCUGCUUUUUCUAGCCACUGGGGCCCUUGUUUCUAUGGCUUCCUGAGCCUUGAGUGCCCUUGUCCAUGCUUGGCUUCCCAGCGCCCACGUGCAGGCUCCCUCUCAUCAAAGGCCUAGGUCAAUCCGAGGAGAUCUCUGGAGGAAGUCCAUCCAUCCUGUUCCUACGCAGUCAGGAUAGGAUUUUCUGCAGACUGUACUAUUGGAAAAAGGUAAAAUGCAAAGUGGAAGAGGGAGAAACCCAGAGAAAUAGCUGCAUGGUCAGAUGGCUCAAGGGAAAAAAGAAAAAAGAAAAAAGAAAAAAGAAAAAAGAAAAAAGAAAAAAGAAAAAAGAAAAAAGAAAAAAGAAAAAAG